This 492-nucleotide ribosomal RNA is filed under the name uncultured bacterium. RNAcentral's name for it is "partial 16S ribosomal RNA". It matches the Rfam family "Bacterial small subunit ribosomal RNA", at positions 29 to 507 of the family's 1533-position model. The record is from RNAcentral.
AGUGAACGCUGGCGGUAGGCCUAACACAUGCAAGUCGAACGGCAGCACAGUAAGAGCUUGCUCUUACGGGUGGCGAGUGGCGGACGGGUGAGGAAUACAUCGGACUCUACUUUUUCGUGGGGGAUAACGUAGGGAAACUUACGCUAAUACAGCAUACGACCUGCGGGUGAAAGCAGGGGAUCUUCGGACCUUGCGCGAUUGAAUGAGCCGAUGUCGGAUUAGCUAGUUGGCGGGGUAAAGGCCCACCAAGGCGACGAUCCGUAGCUGGUCUGAGAGGAUGAUCAGCCACACUGGAACUGAGACACGGUCCAGACUCCUACGGGAGGCAGCAGUGGGGAAUAUUGGACAAUGGGCGCAAGCCUGAUCCAGCCAUACCGAGUGGGUGAAGAAGGCCUUCGGGUUGUAAAGCCCUUUUGUUGGGAAAGAAAAGCAGCAGGUUAAUACCCCGCUGUUCUGACGGUACCCAAAGAAUAAGCACCGGCUAACUUCGUG